CAUAUUGACUUAUAGGACAUACAUCUAACAAUCUUCCACUUAGAUUAAAGCUAAUUGGCCACAAAUCUAAGUCCCAUCUUCUCAAGAUGGACUUCCAUUUUCGGUUGGCUCAACUGCUUAGUCAGUGGAUCUGUCAUGUUGUCCGCAGAGUCUACUCUUUGCACCUCGACAUGUUUCUUUUCGAGGUAGUCAUGUAUAUUGCUACUCUAUGUGCUUGGACUUUUAGUGAGACCCUUAGCUUCUUAGCAAGGGCUAUAGUGUCAUUGUCUUUACAGUACUGUGUCAUGACUGAAGGAACUAGAUCC
This 305-nucleotide long non-coding RNA is filed under the name Elaeis guineensis (African oil palm). Its description in RNAcentral is "long non-coding RNA (EGUI_LNC040381)". Lineage: Eukaryota; Viridiplantae; Streptophyta; Magnoliopsida; Arecales; Arecaceae. The record is from RNAcentral.